GAUGAACGCUAGCGGCAGGCCUAACACAUGCAAGUCGAGGGAGAAGCCCUUUCGGGGGCAGAAACCGGCGCACGGGUGCGUAACGCGUAUGCAACCUACCUUUCACAGGGGGAUAGCCCGAAGAAAUUUGGAUUAAUACCCCAUAAUAUUAUUGGAUGGCAUCAUUUGAUAAUUAAAACUGCGAUGGUGAAAGAUGGGCAUGCGUCCUAUUAGCUAGUUGGAGUGGUAACGGCACCCCAAGGCUACGAUAGGUAGGGGUCCUGAGAGGGAGAUCCCCCACACUGGUACUGAGACAGGGACCAGACUCCUACGGGAGGCAGCAGUGAGGAAUAUUGGUCAAUGGUCGGAAGACUGAACCAGCCAUGCCGCGUGCAGGAAGAAUGCCUUAUGGGUUGUAAACUGCUUUUAUAUGGGAAGAAUAAGGUGUACGUGUACAUUGAUGACGGUACCAUAUGAAUAAGCAUCGGCUAACUCCGUG
RNAcentral lists this ribosomal RNA (478 nucleotides) under uncultured bacterium. RNAcentral's name for it is "partial 16S ribosomal RNA". It matches the Rfam family "Bacterial small subunit ribosomal RNA", at positions 28 to 507 of the family's 1533-position model. The record is from RNAcentral.